Haemonchus contortus (barber pole worm) is the source of this 73-nucleotide non-coding RNA. The record is from Rfam. NCBI's taxonomy places the organism in Eukaryota, Metazoa, Nematoda, Chromadorea, Rhabditida, Trichostrongylidae.
AGCACAAACGUGAAGUAGAGUAGUUUAGUAGGGUCAGAUGACUUCUAGUCUACUCUACUUCAAGUUUGUGCCC